Brassica napus (rape) is the source of this 114-nucleotide non-coding RNA. The record is from Rfam. NCBI's taxonomy places the organism in Eukaryota, Viridiplantae, Streptophyta, Magnoliopsida, Brassicales, Brassicaceae.
GACCAAUCCAUGUGCCUUUUUUUGAAACAUUCUCUCCGGACAAUGAUGGAGACAGAUUUUAAUGCUUGUUUUCCUCUCUCUAUGGACUUCGAGUUUGGCUUUCUUGUCACAUUC